CCUCAGGUCUUAUGAUGAGGCUGAGGAAUAUGUGGGACCACAUCAAGACUGAGAGGACCCCCUUCCUCCUCAGGACCUGCAGCUUGGCUUCGGGACACAUGGGGCUGCGUCUAGGCUGACAGCAACCCACAGCCUCCUCAGGACCCGCGGUGAGUUUUCAGGGGACAUGAGGCCAUAUCCAGGCUGACAGGAGCACCCGGCCUCCUGAGAACCUGCUGUGAGGCUUCCAGAGGUUGUGAGGCAUCCAGAAGGAUGUUCCUCCUCCUUCCAGAGUAGGCAUACUCCACGUUGGCAGGAGACCCGGCGCACUCAGGACCCACUGACUAUGACUCUGGAACACGUGGGGCCACGUCCGCAUUCACAGGAGCCCGGCUUCCUCAGGACCCCCUGGAGGACUCUGGAGGCACCGUUGGGAGCCACGUCCAUGUCAGAAGGGACUCCUCAGAACCAUAGGUUCAGUCACUCAUCAGGAAAUGCAUCUUUAUGGAUUUGGAAAGAACCGAGAGACAUUAUUACCAAUGGUCCUAUUAUUAUGUGAAGGAUUUUUUCCUGAGAUUCUUCCCAUGUUUCAACUGACACUGAAACACUGUGAACUCCUUGGAAGACAAAUGUCAAGGAAAUAAAUGUUAUGCGUUGCAAAUUUUAAA
This is a long non-coding RNA of Canis lupus familiaris (dog), 647 nucleotides long. RefSeq lists it as uncharacterized. The record is from RefSeq and is a predicted model, not a curated record. The transcript is spliced from 2 exons. Lineage: Eukaryota; Metazoa; Chordata; Mammalia; Carnivora; Canidae.